RNAcentral lists this ribosomal RNA (119 nucleotides) under Eucalyptus grandis. The record is from RNAcentral. Lineage: Eukaryota; Viridiplantae; Streptophyta; Magnoliopsida; Myrtales; Myrtaceae.
GGGUGCGAUCAUACCAGCACUAAUGCACCGGAUCCCAUCAGAACUCCGAAGUUAAGCGUGCUUGGGCGAGAGUAGUACUAGGAUGGGUGACCUCCUGGGAAGUCCUCGUGUUGCAUCCC